GAAAAUUAUUGUAUCCCUCCUCUUCCGAUCUCGCCUUCUUCUUAUGAGUUAUGAGAGUUGGAAAAUAUCUUGCCAUUGAGAAGAAGAACUACAAGUUGAAAAAUACACUUUCCAUUUGACAAAGAUACCAGUUGAGAAAUUGGAGUUAUGGUAAUGCAAAGAGUACCUUUGAAUUCCAAUUUUAAAGGUCAACAGAAGAGGAAAUUUGAGGAGUAUAUAUAUGAUGGUGUAUUUACUAGUUUUGAACUCAUUGAUAGAGAGAAAUAUGGUAGUAAAAAUUCCAAGGAUCCUAUAAGAAACUCAUCGUCUCCCCUUGCAUCUUCAACACUAGCCCACAAAAAUGAGAAUGCUUUAGAAGGAACAAAAGAUGGAGAAUAUUGUGCUAUUUGUAUGGAAGAUUAUUCUCACUUUAGUGAUUCUGAAGAUUCUACUAAGGGACUUAGUUAUCCUAUGUAUUUAGGAAAUUUGGAAGUCCAACCUAGGGAUUUAUUGCCUAGUUGUAGUUGUAGUUUUUCUUUCACUACCAAAACAUUAAUGAAGGUUAAGUCAAAAAGGAAACACUUGGAAGUGUUGAAGUCAUUUGGGGUUGACACUGAUAACGAUAAUAAGAGUUUACCAUUUUCAUCGAGCUCAACAGAAAAUGAUAGUGAUGGAGUUUGCUCGAUCAAUAAAUUUUUACUUUCGAGGAGUAGUCAUCUUCCAAGACCAAUUAUUCCCAUAGGACCUAGGUUUCAAGCAGAAGUUCCUAAAUGGGAAGGCGGAAUCGACCUAAAACAUUUUAAUAGUUUCGAUGAUUUGAAAUGGUUAGGAACUCAAAUUUGAACAUUGCCUACUAUCUCUGAAACAAAAAAAAUUGUAUCUAUGGGUCUUGCUCAUUCCGUUUAUGAUUGAUUGAUUUGGCAUGUGGUAUUUCUCAUGUUAUAAAAGUAAUAGUCACCUGUUUUAUUCUUGUGUUUUUGCCUCCAUAUUGUUUAGAAAUCCGUAUCUUGACAAUUCAAAAAAAAAAAAUUAUCUUGAGUUUGAAACUAAUUGGUGUAAAUUGUCUACUUCACAAUUUAAUUCAAAGCUAAAAGUUUAGUUUUGUAUCUUCAAAUUAUUGAAUUUGAAUUUUCUUUAAGUAGCAUGUUCUUUUAUUGUUUAUUGAGUUGAAGGUUCUUUUAACAAGGAUGACAAUUGUACUUAUAUGCAAUGAGUACUCUUAAAAAAUACUUACAAACAGGUAGGAUAAAAGUCCGCAAAAAUGGAUACAGACAUGAAGAUGAAUAAUUACUCUCUAAAAUAAGCAGGUAUGAGUAUAGUUACCUUUGUAUCCACCCCUAGGGGUGGGAAUAGGUUAGACCUGGCUAGGCUAGGCUUUAUAAGGGCUGAGUCUGGCCAACGAAAAAUUACAAGGCCUGAGCCUGACCUAUGGCUUACUAUAAGAUCUUUUUUUCAACAUGGCCUUGGCCUAGCCUGAAAGCCUAAUUAAAGUCUCUUUCUCAUUAAGGUUUUCAAUUAAUUUGUACUACUUAAAAAACCUUAUAGGUUGGACUAUAUAUGAAUAUUUAGGUCGGUCUAUUUAACAUUUUUUUCUAAUAUAUAUGCAUAUAUAGACCAACCUAUUUAGCAUUUUUUCUAAUAUAUAUGCAUAUAUAGGCCAGCCUAUUUAAACUAUUCUUAAUAUAUAUGAAAAUAUAGGUAGGCCUAUAAGGCUUCAUAGGAUUUUUUAAUAGCUUAAACAUGACCUGUGUAAUUAAAUAUAUUUUUAAAAAAGCCUAAGUCUAACCUUGAAUAGGCUAGACUAUAGACCCCUGUAGGCCGGCCUGACCUAUUUUCAUCCCUAUUUAUUUGCUCUAUACUCGUACAAUGUAUAUUUAUAUAUAUUUUUAUUUAUAUUAUUAAAUAAAAUUAAAUAUUUAUCACUUUUAAAAAAAUACAUCAUUAUUAAACUAUUAUGCAUUUUGAUAUAAGUGUUCGAUUGUUUUAUAACUCAACAUUAAAAAAUUUAAAAUUUUUGUUUACGUAGUUAAAAUAUAAAAUGAUAUGAUAAUUUAUAAUUUAUUGAUUUGUUUUCGCUAGAACUGCGGAUAACAAAUAUGAAUAUCAGUACUUGAGUACUCGUAAGAUAUGAGUACGAGUAUAAAAGUUGGUGUCUACGCGAGUAAGAGCUGGCGCCAAUUGGAUUGAUGUCUGUAGAUGGUGUUGCCAACCCAAUUGGUGCAUGUGUGUAUUAUUUCAAUGGCGGUACCAAUUCAAUUGGCACUAGUGUGUAUUGUGUUAUACAUACUAGUGUUAAUUAAAUUGACGCCACAAUUGAAAUAAUACACACAGACGUCGAUUGAGUUGAUAAUACCAAGAGUAGUCGCCAAUCCAAUUGGCGUCACCUCUUAAAUCCAUUUCUUUUUUAAAGUGGGGGUAGAUUGAUUUGUUUUUGAAAUAUGAGUUAGUUUGAGAUAUUUUUUGAAAAUGUAGGUUAUUUAGGCAAAUGAAUAUAAUUUCUUUGGUGUGGUUUUUACUAUUUUUUCAAUAAAAAUAUGACAAAUUUACUUAAAUAUUUUUUAUGGAGUAUAAAUAGAAGGAAAUUGCGUAUAUGUAAUAGAAAAGUAUACACUUGCCAUAUAAAACUGAACAUGUUUUUAUUUAUUUUUGCUAUUGAAGACUUAACAUAAAAAAAUGUGUAUUUACUAUAUUAUCAUUAAUAUUUUAUUAUUAUUAAAUAUUUUAUCAAUAUUAAUAUAAGGUAUUUUUUUAAAUAUAAAGGGAUUGUGCGCUAUUGUUCUGGCGAUUUUCGGCGAGUUUGUAACAAACUCCGGUGAGGGUCACCUGUUUACUUCUACGAUGCUCCUUCUACUUCUGUUGGCUUAAGAUUCUAACCUUAAGGUUAGGGGCCACGGAGGGGGAAGGCAACACUGUGUGCAUUCAUUCCUUAACUGAUUCUUAGGAUGGGUCGAGGGCGAUGAUGGCCAAAGGGUAGGGUAUCACCGCCAAUGAUUCAACCACUGGUUCAUGAGGCUUCUGAAAGUACCCCGGUGUGUCAAUCGGGUAGUGGCAAUGGGGAACAAGCUAGUGAAGGUGACAAAGAUGCAACUGAAACCCUAGUUGUUGAGCAGGAGAAAGGCACAAAGGAUGAAGAUGAGAAAGAGGAGAAGAAAUUAUGGUUGGAUGUCAUUAGCGGGAACCGCCUACCAGCUAAUGGAUUACCAGUUGAAUACCAUGCUCCUAAGUAUGUCGAUGGGAUAGAGGAAGUUGAAAUUGUUCCGGAGGACAUCAUGUCAAAACUACACUUUUGGGAAGACACUGUGAUCAUGUAUGUAUUGGGAAGAGACCUUAGUGUCGCGGGGAAAAAUCGUAUCUUUUUUCGGGAUGAGACACCUGAUGCCUUCUUUGGGCUCGAGUGCUCAAAAAAAUGAUUUUUCUUUGUUUCGACCAAACUUUUUAUUGUUUCCAAAGUAGGAAAAGGAAAAAAGUUGCAAUAACCUAAAAAGUGGGGGAGAGAUUCCGGGUAAGAGGGUUGGUUAUACGAAGGGAAGGUAUUAGCACCCAACGUAUCUAUAGUACUCUAUAGGCUUCUUUGUUAUGUUUGUUUCAUUCUAUGUUAUGGUGGAGGUUCUUGUGAAAUAGGUGGGACCUAAGGUGUUUGUUUGAUUAUGCUCGCAAAGAUCAUCGCGAUCCUCUGCAUACAUAUCCCUUAGAGGGAAUCAGAGCAUCUGUAGCUCGGGGUCUACGGGUGCUAAGGUUUGAGUGGUUUGAGGGAGAAGUUUUGCUCGCCAAGGAUACGACCUUGUGCCUACGUAUUCUCAAAGGGAUGUUGAGAAAGUCAGAGCAAUCGUAGUUCCCACUUAUGCUAGUGGAAGCAAAGGAAAAGAGACAAAUGUCAUCUCAAUGUUCGAUGUAUCUAAUCUAUAUCAUCACAUACAUCUGUUUGUUUUUGUUUGAAAAUCUUUUCAUUAUAAGCCCUGGGCCAUGCCACUUAUGGCGUUUAGAAUGAUAAAGAUGCUUUUUAGCCAGCCUUGUGGCAAAAACUUUCAACGAAGUCAGCCUUGUGACAAAAAGUUUUGAUUAAUCAGCCAGCCUUGUGGCAAAAGUUUCAAUGAAGUCAGCCUUGUGACAAAAACUUUGAUUAAUCAGCCAGUAUGGUGGCAAAAAGGUUUGAUUGAUUAGCCAGCCUUGUGGCAAAAAAGUUUGAUUGAUUGAUUGAUUGAUUGUGAUGAUAUAGAAGAGAUACUCCUAUCAUAGAGAUGAUAAAUGUCUAAUCUCCUAGGGUAUUUGAUUUGGAUAUUGGGGAUGCUUAUAAGAAGCCCGUGGGUCCUUGUACGAAGCCCAAGAGGAGGCUAUCCGAGGGUCCUUGCAUUGUAAGACCAAGAGGAGGCUAUGGGAGGGACAAUCGAGGGUCCUUGCAUUGUAAGUCCAAGAGGAGGCUAUGGGAGGGUCACUCGUUUGUACAAAGCCCAAGGGGAGGCAUGGUAUAGUUGGUUUGAGCUCUUAGAGCGAUUUCACCGGGAAACCAUACUCUAUGUCCUAACCUAAACUAGGGAGAUUCUUUGCACGAAGCCCAAUAGGAGGCUAUGGGGAACCUAGUGUUGUACUAAGUUGAACAAGUAUAUAUAACACGAUCACAAAUAUGAACAAGUACAAACAAAUAUUGACAAGUACAUGAACGAAUAUGAACAAGUACAUGAACAAAUAUGAACAAGUAUGAACAGUUAUAUAUAACAAGGUGUGUGUAUACAAUGGAGUUUAUGAAGGAAAUAUACCUGUAAGCAUGAUCCAUUUGUAUACACGGGGCUCGGGACUCAUACUCGGGGAGAAGCCCAUUGAGUUUAUUCAAAAGUUAUGUAAGCAAGUAUUUACAAGAGGCCUCGGGACUUAUACCUACAUGGAGGCCCAUGGUAUUUUUGGGAAGAUUUGAAGAAAACCUUCAUUUUUUGAUUUGUUGUUCGAAGUUAAAAAAACAAAUUGAACGAGAUAUAUACAAAAAGGUAUGUGUACAAUGAAAUACCCAAUUUCAUGUACAGGAAUGAGACUUAUACCUAUGUGGAGGCCCCUAUUGAUUUUUGAUGAAAAAACCUAAUUUUGAUCUUGUUAUUCGAGGGUUUAAAUCGAUUCGAUCGAAGUAUAAAAGAUAGGUAUAUAUACAAUGAAAAACCUAAAUUUAUACAAAGGAAUGGGACUUAUACCAUAAGGGAUGCCCAGGAGGUUUUGGAAAUCAAUUGAUUAAUCCAAAAAGAUUUAUUCAAAAGUUUUUGAAAGGAGAACCAAAAAAGAAAUGGUUUUGAAAGUGAUUUGUUUUUUUUAAAAAACGUCGAUCGUUUGUUUUAGAACAGUUUGAAAUUUUUGAAAGGAAUCGAAUUAAUUAAGAUAAACACAAAAAUUAUACUUAAUUAUCAUCUA
Molecule: long non-coding RNA, 5370 nt
Organism: Vicia villosa (hairy vetch)
Lineage: Eukaryota; Viridiplantae; Streptophyta; Magnoliopsida; Fabales; Fabaceae
Exons: 3
Source: RefSeq, a predicted model, not a curated record